RNAcentral lists this ribosomal RNA (504 nucleotides) under uncultured Glomeromycotina. RNAcentral's name for it is "SSU rRNA". It matches the Rfam family "Eukaryotic small subunit ribosomal RNA", at positions 569 to 1077 of the family's 1831-position model. The record is from RNAcentral. Lineage: Eukaryota; Fungi; Glomeromycota.
AGCAGCCGCGGUAAUUCCAGCUCCAAUAGCGUAUAUUAAAGUUGUUGCAGUUAAAAAGCUCGUAGUUGAAUUUCAGGCCUGGCCGGACGGUCCGCCCUUCGGGUGAGUACUGUCUGUGGUCGGGUCCUACCUUCUGGCGAAGCGUCAUGGCCUUAACCGGCCGUGGCGGGGAACCAGGACUUUUACUGUGAAAAAAUUAGAGUGUUCAAAGCAGGCAAUCGCUUGGAUACAUUAGCAUGGAAUAAUGGAAUAGGACAAUGGUUCUAUUUGUUGGUUUCUAGGACCGUUGUAAUGAUUAAUAGGGAUAGUUGGGGGCAUUAGUAUUCAAUUGUCAGAGGUGAAAUUCUUGGAUUUAUUGAAGACUAACUACUGCGAAAGCAUUUGCCAAGGAUGUUUUCAUUAAUCAAGAACGAAAGUUAGGGGAUCGAAGACGAUCAGAUACCGUCGUAGUCUUAACCAUAAACUAUGCCGACUAGGAAUCGGGCGAUGUUGAAAAAAUGACGC